UGACCCCAAAGUGGGCAGGAGGACCAGCUGAGCUUAAGCAUAUUAAUAAGCGGAGAAGAAGAUAAUUACUAGGAUUCCCUUAGUAACAGGGAGUGAACCAAGAUCUCCCCAACACAGGAAUCAAGAUGCAAUGCAGUCGAAUUGUAGUCUGGAGAAGUGUCCCUAGUGACAAAUCAGGCCUGCGUCCCUAGAAAAGGGGCAUUAGGGAGGGUUAGAGCUCCAUUCAUCCUGAACCCUAUUAUAAUAUGAGGUGUUGUCAUUGAGUCAAGUUUCUUGGGAAUGCAACUCCAAUAGGGAAAUAAAUACUAUCCAAGGCUAAAUAUGGGUGAGAAACUGAUAGUGAACAAGUACCAUGAAGGAAAGAUAAAAUUUUUUUGAAAAGAGAGUCAAAGAGUGCUUAAAAUUGUCAGGAAGGAAGUGGAUGGGGGUUGGCAUUAUGUCUCAGCCUGUAGUGGAGUGGGUAAUGCUACUCUACUAUUUGGAUUGAGGCGUGGAUCAUUGCAGGCCUUAUUGGUGGCUAGAUCCUAGGCGAAUGAUGCACGAGGAUGCACAGGCCUUAUUGGUGGCUAGAUCCUAGGCGAAUGAUGCACGAGGAUGCACAGUCAGUAUGGCCAAUGAAGCAU
RNAcentral lists this ribosomal RNA (623 nucleotides) under Rhizanthella gardneri. RNAcentral's name for it is "eukaryotic LSU rRNA". It matches the Rfam family "Eukaryotic large subunit ribosomal RNA", at positions 1 to 633 of the family's 3401-position model. The record is from RNAcentral. Lineage: Eukaryota; Viridiplantae; Streptophyta; Magnoliopsida; Asparagales; Orchidaceae.